GCAAAGUUUCUCAAGUGUUUUUUGUUAAGGACAAUCUUAUAAAAGGAUGGCGCACAGUUGUGAAAAAUCCAUCACAUCAUGCUUACAGUAUACCACAUGCACAGUCUGACGAUGAAGCCUCUGAAGCUGAAUUUGACAACGGCGAUGAAGACGACAUGCUUCAAAAGUCGAUAACACCAUCACGUAGCAAGAGAACAACAUGAUGGCACUAGUUUAUGCAGCUCUUAAUCUGUACUAAUCGAUUUUCUUCAUAUUUUAGCUUUUACCUUCUUAAUAAACAGUGACACCAGUAGUUAUAUACUUACUCUAUUUGAUUUAGCAUUCAGUAAUUCAUUUUCUGUACAUCAACAUUGACUUACUUUACUUUGUAUAGCCUUUGUGCACACUUCAAACUUGACAGCAUUAGCUUGGGAAAGAUGCCGCUCACAACUGAAUAAGUCUGGACUGGUACACCAAGGUAUUGCUAGGCAGACCUUGCCGGAGAAAUCAAGUCAAAUAGCAGAUUUUAGUAGAAAAAGGGUUACUCACAAGCCUCAAUUGCAAGAUUAGGAACUCUGGAAAAAGUACGAGUUAGCUACACAGAUGGAAAUGAUGCGCCAACAAAUACACCAAUCUUGUUUAGUACAAAUUGGGAUGCUGAUGAUUCCGAGAAUAUGAAUGGUGAAGUUGAUGCCAGCAUAAUGGUGACAUGGAUGAAUUUUAUGACGCUACAAAUGGUGUAGAUGAAUUAAUGGGUAAUAAAGAUCUGGAAAGUGAAGAAUCGCAGUGUAACCAUGGGCCUUGAGCUACCUCAAAGACUAGUAAGCAUGAAAAUCCAACUGGAUUAGUUGAUGAAAAUCUGGAAAGUGAAGUGCAAGGACAUGGGAGGAAAGGAAAACAGGCCACCAACUAUGGAUAAACUAUUUUGUUUCAGUUGAAUCCUGGUCUUUCAAAUGAUGAAGUCAUGCAAAAAAUGUGAUACAUAUAAGUGGCAUGGUCGCAUAGUUGGCUUUGGUGGUGGAAUUAAAGCAAGAGGUUUGCGAGGACGAGCAUUAAGUAAGGCUGAAUUGUUUUCUAAACGUCAAGCUUCUGAGAAAGCAAAACAAGUACUCGAAGAAAAGGUUAAUGGCAUGGUGCAAGAAGUGUCAGAAAUUCAGUGUCUUCUGUCCGGUAGAUCUCUAAGUGAUGGUUCUCAUGAACGCCAACAAGAUCAAGUCAGUUGUUCUCAUACAUUGAUUUUAUAUGUCAUUAUACUUUGAGACCAUUUAUUUACAUGGACCGACUUUGAUAAACUACUCAACAUUCUGUAGGACUGAUGGUCCACCGUAAUAUACAGAAGAACAAGGAGGCAUUGUAAAUGCUGAUGAAGAUCAAACAACGAUGGUGUCCCUUGAUUGAAGAUUAAUAAAUAUUAUCAAUUAUCUAUUCUAGUUUUCUCGUUUUGUAGAUAGAUAUA
This is a long non-coding RNA of Triticum aestivum (bread wheat), 1435 nucleotides long. RefSeq lists it as uncharacterized. The record is from RefSeq and is a predicted model, not a curated record. Lineage: Eukaryota; Viridiplantae; Streptophyta; Magnoliopsida; Poales; Poaceae. The transcript has 5 exons.